GACUUGUAUAAAACCGCCAAUCCACCGCAGCGCACGGAGAGACUACGCACGUGCGUCAAGCUUCGCUUUGUAAGAAAAUAUAUUAUGUGACUGUGUCCACUGCAACCCUCGGACACGCUACGCACGAAUUGACUCACGUAGCUUGCUCUAAUAUGGUGCACACGCA
Aricia agestis (brown argus) is the source of this 166-nucleotide long non-coding RNA. RefSeq lists it as uncharacterized. The transcript has 3 exons. The record is from RefSeq and is a predicted model, not a curated record. Lineage: Eukaryota; Metazoa; Arthropoda; Insecta; Lepidoptera; Lycaenidae.